Molecule: long non-coding RNA, 1482 nt
Organism: Brassica napus (rape)
Lineage: Eukaryota; Viridiplantae; Streptophyta; Magnoliopsida; Brassicales; Brassicaceae
Exons: 5
Source: RefSeq, a predicted model, not a curated record
UUUACUCAACAAAUCGAACUCAAUACAUCGUCUUCUCCAAAGUCGCAGCCACCAAAAUCUAGGGUUCGUGUUUUGCUUAAAUCGUCAAGACCAGUUACGUUCUUCUUCCUUCUUUGACACCAAAGCGUGGUUCUGUAGCACCAAUGGUUCGUCUCUGUGAUCCCGACUCUUAUAUCCGCUCAGUCUGCAUUGUGGCUGUGUCGGCGAUCUCUUCCCAAUGCACAGAUCAUAGUGGCGUUGUGUCUUGCAGCGGCGAUUGAUGAUGUGGAGGAUCCGGUUCGGUUAGGCAUGUGUUUCUUCCUAGGCUGAAGAGAGGUGAUGAAUCAGAAGAUGAACAGACCUGACUUUGUAGGUAUCAUAAUUUUCCAAGAUCUGUAGUCGUAUUGUAAUUUUUUCUGGAUUCGUAGUUCACUAAACAACUUACUAGAUCAUUGGCCCAGCGUUAAUUGGAAAGUAUCCAACUCAGCAUACUGCUAUUGACAAGUUCAUGGUCUAUAAACUGAUAAAAACGAGUGGGAGUGGUGUAAUCAAAAGGAUAUUGACUUUAUCUGCACCAAAAAGGUCACCGGUAUCAAGAUGUAAAAAGAUGGUGUUACGUUUCUUGCUCCAACUGUACCAAGAAGUUUCAACGGACUGUCUCAGCCUUUUCAGUGUGCACUGCAACAAUACUAAUGUUGUUGGUGUCGUCCGAGAUGUAUCUAUAUAGCAUGUUAUUUCCAUUCAUUGCACUGAAUGUCCACACACACGUAGUUACCCUUGACACUUAAUACAUGUUUUCUGACUUCUAGAUAUCGUGUGGAGAUGACCAUUGCUGAUGAUACUGCUGAUGGUCUAUUUGUUAGUUCGAUGGGAUAAUGACAAAACUACAUAACAUCAUAACCUAUGAAACUGGUCAUCUAUUGGCUGGAGAGGGUGUGAACCCGGAGGAGACUCAGGUCCCCCCUUUUAUUGCACACAUAGUAGUCAAGACCUACACGUUCUAGGUCAAGGUUAGUACCUACAACUUCACAGCGAAUCAUCAAGCUUUCACAAUCUCAAGCAUCCUUAGCGAAGGUGACCGUAUGCCACUCUCUGCCUUUUGUUGACGAUGGAGCAACGAUGACAAUGGAGAUGAUAUAUGCUUGGUGCCAACUCAGUACCUGCUAAGGUGGACAUUGGUGGUAGUAGUUUUCAGGAAGCAUCAACUACAUGAGCAGCUCCAAGUGGUGUCAGACACAAAGAAGCAUCCAGCGCAAGCCGCUUACAAAAUGGCCAAGAAAACACGCAUGGCAUAGGUUAAGAUAGUGAGAGCAUUAGACGCAGUAUUUCCUCUUUGAACAAUGCUAAUGCAUCAAUAUUUUUUUGAACAAGUUUGUUUUUUGUUUCCCUCCUUUUGGGUAAUCUAUGUUUGGUUCAGACGAUUUUUAUAAAAAUGUCUGAGCUUUAAUUGGUUUGUAUAUUUAGUACCAUACAUCAUUUAAUUACUAAGAUUCGGUUUAUAUA